Hyla sarda is the source of this 485-nucleotide long non-coding RNA. RefSeq lists it as uncharacterized. The record is from RefSeq and is a predicted model, not a curated record. NCBI's taxonomy places the organism in Eukaryota, Metazoa, Chordata, Amphibia, Anura, Hylidae. The transcript has 4 exons.
CCCCCCAUGGCUCUGCCAAACAGCUGUAGGGCAGAGGUGAGGUGCCUGGUGUUGGUCCACCACCAACAACACAUUAAUAGCCAGUCCUGAGGAUGGACCAUAAAUGGAAAAGUCACAGAAAACUUCUUAAUCUAAAUUCCUCUGGUGGGAGAAGGAAAAAACCUCUGAAGAUUACAUCAGGGCAUUCGCGUCACACACCGCUCAUCAUCCACACUUUGUAACAAAUUCUAAUAGAAGAAGUACUCAGACAAGGGAGAAGGAAAAAAAACUCUGAAGGUUACAUCAGGGCAUUCGGGUCACACACCGCUCAUCAUCCACACUUUGUAACAAAUUCUAAUAGAAGAAGUGACUCAGACAAGGCUGCAGAUCGGUGAUACAGAUGGAGCAGGCGGGAGGAAUCCACCAUGGGCCUCUCGGGAUGUAUUCUCCAGGAUCCCUCCGGUACCAGCGUAUGGCCCAGCCGUGAUGUUCCUUACGCUCUCUCU